RNAcentral lists this ribosomal RNA (237 nucleotides) under uncultured Bacillota bacterium. RNAcentral's name for it is "uncultured Firmicutes bacterium partial 16S ribosomal RNA". It matches the Rfam family "Bacterial small subunit ribosomal RNA", at positions 796 to 1041 of the family's 1533-position model. Lineage: Bacteria; Bacillati; Bacillota. The record is from RNAcentral.
CACGCCGUAAACGUUGAGAACUAAGUGUUGGGGAGACCCAGUGCUGAAGCUAACGCAUUAAGUAAUCCACCUGGGGAGUACGGCCGCAAGGUUAAAACUCAAAGGAAUUGACGGGGGCCCGCACAAGCAGUGGAGUAUGUGGUUUAAUUCGAGGCAACGCGAAGAACCUUACCAGGGCUUGACAUCCUCUGACAACCCUAGAGAUAGGGCUUUUCUACGGAACAGAGUGACAGGUGG